Molecule: ribosomal RNA, 875 nt
Filed under: uncultured bacterium
Lineage: Bacteria
Description: bacterial SSU rRNA
Rfam family: Bacterial small subunit ribosomal RNA
Source: RNAcentral
GUGCCAGCAGCCGCGCGGUAAUACGGAGGGUGCAAGCGUUAAUCGGAAUUACUGGGCGUAAAGCGUGCGUAGGCGGUUUAUUAAGUCAGAUGUGAAAGCCCCGGGCUUAACCUGGGAACUGCAUUUGAAACUGGUAAACUAGAGUAUGGUAGAGGAAAGUGGAAUUUCUGGUGUAGCGGUGAAAUGCGUAGAUAUCAGAAGGAACAUCAAUGGCGAAGGCAGCUUUCUGGACCAAUACUGACGCUGAGGUACGAAAGCGUGGGUAGCAAACAGGAUUAGAUACCCUGGUAGUCCACGCCGUAAACGAUGAUAACUAGCCGUUGGGGGGAUUUACCCUUUAGUGGCGAAGCUAACGCGUUAAGUUAUCCGCCUGGGGAGUACGGCCGCAAGGUUAAAACUCAAAGGAAUUGACGGGGACCCGCACAAGCGGUGGAGCAUGUGGUUUAAUUCGAUGCAACGCGAAGAACCUUACCUGGUCUUGACAUCCUGCGAACUUUCUAGAAAUAGAUUGGUGCCUUCGGGAACGCAGUGACAGGUGCUGCAUGGCUGUCGUCAGCUCGUGUCGUGAGAUGUUGGGUUAAGUCCCGUAACGAGCGCAACCCCUGUCCUUAUUUGCCAGCACAUUAUGGUGGGAACUAUAAGGAGACUGCCGGUGAUAAACCGGAGGAAGGCGGGGACGACGUCAAGUCAUCAUGGCCCUUACGACCAGGGCUACACACGUGCUACAAUGGUAGUGACAAUGGGUUAAUCCCCAAAAACUAUCCCAGUUCGGAUUGUCGUCUGCAACUCGACGGCAUGAAGUCGGAAUCGCUAGUAAUCGCGUAACAGCAUGACGCGGUGAAUACGUUCCCGGGCCUUGCACACACCGCCCGUCA